Molecule: ribosomal RNA, 647 nt
Filed under: uncultured bacterium
Lineage: Bacteria
Description: bacterial SSU rRNA
Rfam family: Bacterial small subunit ribosomal RNA
Source: RNAcentral
GAGUUUGAUCCUGGCUCAGAACGAACGCUGGCGGCAUGCUUCAUACAUGCAAGUCGAACGUGAAAGACCUUCGGGUUAAGUAAAGUGGCGCACGGGUGAGUAACGCGUAGAUAAUCUGCCCCGCAUGUCUGGGAUAACCUUUCGAAAGGGAGGCUAAUACCGGAUAACACGAUUUCUUUUGAGGGAGUCGUUGAAAGUUGCGGCGCAACGGGAUGAGUCUGCGUCCCAUUAGCUAGUUGGUGGGGUAAAGGCCUACCAAGGCGACGAUGGGUAGCGGGUUUGAGAGGACGAUCCGCCACACUGGAACUGAGACACGGUCCAGACUCCUACGGGAGGCAGCAGUAGGGAAUCUUGCGCAAUGGGCGAAAGCCUGACGCAGCAAUGCCGCGUGAGUGAAGAAGGCCCUCGGGUCGUAAAGCUCUUUAUCUUCGGGAAGAUGAUGACGGUACCGAAGGAAGAAGCACCGGCUAACUACGUGCCAGCAGCCGCGGUAAUACGUAGGGUGCAAGCGUUGUUCGGAAUCACUGGGCGUAAAGGGCGUGUAGGCGGAACGAUUAGCGAGGGGUGAAAUCCCGGGGCUCAACCCCGGAAGCGCUCUUCGAACUGUCGAUCUAGAGAAGGUCAGGCGCCGGCGGAAUUCCUGGUGU